UACGAGGGGUGCAAGCGUUGCUCGGAAUUAUUGGGCGUAAAGGGUAGGUAGGUGGUCUCAUUUGUCUAGGGUGAAAGCCUUGAGCUUAACUCAAGAAGUGCCCUAGAAACGGUGAGACUGGAGUCUUGGAGAGGGUCGUGGAAUUCCCGGUGUAGCGGUGAAAUGCGCAGAUAUCAGGGGGAACACCAAUGGCGAAGGCAGCUCGCUGGGACGGUACUGACGCUGAGACGCGAAAGCGUGGGGAGCAAACAGG
RNAcentral lists this ribosomal RNA (253 nucleotides) under uncultured bacterium. RNAcentral's name for it is "partial 16S ribosomal RNA". It matches the Rfam family "Bacterial small subunit ribosomal RNA", at positions 524 to 776 of the family's 1533-position model. The record is from RNAcentral.